UACGUAGGGGGCAAGCGUUGUCCGGAAUCAUUGGGCGUAAAGCGCGUGUAGGCGGCUCGGGUAGUCUGGUGUGAAAUCUUUCGGCUCAACCGGAAGCGGUCACUGGAUACUCUCGGCUUGAGUCCGGAAGAGGAGAGUGGAAUUCCUGGUGUAGCGGUGGAAUGCGCAGAUAUCAGGAGGAACACCAAUGGCGAAGGCAGCUCUCUGGUACGUGACUGACGCUGAGACGCGAAAGCGUGGGGAGCGAACAGG
RNAcentral lists this ribosomal RNA (252 nucleotides) under uncultured bacterium. RNAcentral describes it as "partial 16S ribosomal RNA". It matches the Rfam family "Bacterial small subunit ribosomal RNA", at positions 524 to 776 of the family's 1533-position model. The record is from RNAcentral.